Molecule: non-coding RNA, 45 nt
Organism: Schistosoma rodhaini
Lineage: Eukaryota; Metazoa; Platyhelminthes; Trematoda; Strigeidida; Schistosomatidae
Source: Rfam
AUCCAGCUGACGAGUUUCAAAUUGGACUAAACGCACGUCCUGGAU